RNAcentral lists this long non-coding RNA (2249 nucleotides) under Lynx pardinus (Iberian lynx). The record is from RNAcentral. Lineage: Eukaryota; Metazoa; Chordata; Mammalia; Carnivora; Felidae.
UGCAGGAUCCUCGAGCACUAUGUGUGUGUGCUUGCAGAAAGUGAACGGGGCCCCCAAGCCCUUCUCCAUCUAAACCAACACCUGGUGAAGCUCCUAGAGCUGACAAUUUGAUGCUCCCAAGUACUGUGGUCUCCACUGGAUCUGCGAAGACAGCAGGCUGUGCAUUUGCUUCCCUCUGGUGGUAGGUCCUGGAGUGAGCCUGGGGACUCUGUGUCUUCCUCUAACACUGGAUGAAUGGGUGCCUUCCAGCUUCACUCCCAGAGGGUUCCCAGACACCUAGCCCAGAAGGUAAGCUCAUUGUUUCAUUGGCCACUGAUCAUAACAGUGUCUAACAUUUGUAGAAUGCUUACUCAUUGCUCUACACUGUGCUACAGACUCUAUAGAAGUGUGUCAUUUGAGCCAUACAACAGGGUAAGGAAGUAGGGACUGUUACUAGUAUUCUUGUAGACAGAAGAGGGGUGGGGCCAUGCUAGAGAGAAAGAAAAUAGCCCAAUUAAUGAAUUUGGGAACUAGGAUCACACCCUGGGUCUGCUGCCAAAGGGCCCAGGCUCUUAACCUCUGUGCUGUGCUGCCUCCCACACUGCAAGUGGAGUCUGAGAUAUGUUCAUAUCCACACACAUGGCCCUCACCCACAGAGUACCUUGCAUGACCGACUCCCAGUAUUGAAGCUGUAGGCUGGUCAGUGUGAAUGCUUAGGUGGAGGCAUCUGUGGGCGUACAGUAGGUCUCAUACAAGUAUAUAAACCCAGUAUAGGAACAUAGCCUUUAACAUAGCACUUUAGAACCUUAUGCAGAUCAAGCCCAGGAUGGCCAGCCACCUAUUAUUCCAAGCAUGGAAAAAGGAAAGACCAUUUUGCACUCUAUUGUGGUCCCUCCCUUGAUGGGAUCCUUGAUUUGUCCCAUGCUUGAGCAGAGGACAGCCCCCCCCCCCCCCGCCAGAGCCAGUGCCCAGCAUAGCUACCGACAGCCUUCCCUGAACAUCUGAUAAAGAGGCUCUUGCUAGGGAAUCCCAUUACUAUGACCACAUUGGAUGUGGCCCCUUUAGAACAGGGGGAGGGGAAAUAGCCUAAUUUCUGUCAAAUCUGUCUGAUCUGCUUGGUGAAAGAGGAUGGCUGGACUGAUUCUGAGUAAUUAUCAGUUCAUCUUUAGAUAAAGUAAAGAUGAGCUCUGUGUACAGGGUUUCCACCAAACUCAAGUGUUCAUGUCUUUUUGGCUAACUGGGUCUCUUUGGUGUUGCCAUUGCCAGGGAUUGUGGGCUUUCUUGCUCUCGCUCUCUCUCAGAAAUAAAUAAAUAAACAUUAAAAAAAAAAAAAAAGAGCUGAUUCUGAAUAUAGAGAUAAAACCAGAUUUGGGAGAUGAUAGCCUGUCCUGCCCUAAUUGUUCUCUUUCUGGCACCUGUGAAAAACCUUGAUGCUCCCUGACAAUGCCUUCUAAUGAGGUCCCUGAGAGCUGACUCAUUGAAUCCUUUUGGAUGGAGUGGAAGGCAAACCUUUUGCACUGUGUUUUCUGCUGUAUGGCAACAGGAUAUACCCAUGCUGAGGUUGCAACCCAGGCGAUGGAUACCAAGGAGAGUCUGGUCCCUCAGGGGAUCUAAAGCAAAGUGCACUUAUCCUACAAUUGCUUUCAGGAAGGCUGGUCUUCACAUACACAAGGUAGAAGACAGGCAUUCUUUCUAGGAGGAGAGUAUGCAUGCUUAGAAAGGAGGUUGGUUAAUGGUUUUAAGAACUGAAAUACAGAGUGAAGGGCCUUAGGCUUCUCACCAUAGGAGCACUCUUCUCUCUUUACUAAUACUUAGACCACAAUUUGUCCCUGCCACAAUCAGAAAUCAAAAGCCGUAGGUGUCUUAAUUACAGGAAACAUUGUAUAUCCAGUGCUUCUGACCUUACACUGAAGGGGAGUUUAUUUUUAGCUAACAGGCAUUUAACCUUUCUGGAAAGUCUUUGGGGUGUUUGUUUCUCAGAGGACAUGUGAGGAGUGGCUUCUAACCAGUUAUUUUCUGACUGACUUUAGCACCAUGUGCUGCACUUGCAUGGAUUUGAAGUCCUCACCCUCAGAUGUUGCUCCUGAGGCCACAUCAGACAAAGAAAGGCAAGUGAUGGUGACACUGCGGGCCCAGAGACUGACAGGCGUUGGGAAGGAAGAGCCCGCCCACGGGACACCUCCCUGGUACUUUAGGUGAUAACCUGCAAUGCAGUCACCCCACCAAAGAGUGGUGGACGGGACUGGGGUUAAAUAAAACUUACAGAAAAG